Molecule: ribosomal RNA, 261 nt
Filed under: uncultured archaeon
Lineage: Archaea
Description: partial 16S ribosomal RNA
Rfam family: Archaeal small subunit ribosomal RNA
Source: RNAcentral
AGGGUGUAAACGCUGCAGACUUGGUGUUGGGGGCCCUUUGGGGGCAUUCAGUGCCGGAGAGAAGUUGUUAAGUCUGCUACUUGGGGAGUACGUCCGCAAGGAUGAAACUUAAAGGAAUUGGCGGGGGAGCACAACAACGGGUGGAGCUUGCGGUUUAAUUGGAUUCAACGCCGGAAAUCUUACCGGGACCGACAGCAACAUGAAGGCCAAGCUGAAGACUUUGCCGGAUUAGCUGAGAGGUGGUGCAUGGCGUAGUCGUGU